UACGAAGGGGACUAGCGUUGUUCGGAAUCACUGGGCGUAAAGCGCACGUAGGCGGAUUUAUAAGUCAGGGGUGAAAUCCCGGGGCUCAACCUCGGAACUGCCUUUGAUACUGUAAGUCUUGAGUUCGAUAGAGGUGGGUGGAAUUCCUAGUGUAGAGGUGAAAUUCGUAGAUAUUAGGAAGAACACCGGUGGCGAAGGCGGCCCACUGGAUCGACACUGACGCUGAGGUUCGAAAGCGUGGGGAGCAAACAGG
Molecule: ribosomal RNA, 253 nt
Filed under: uncultured bacterium
Lineage: Bacteria
Description: partial 16S ribosomal RNA
Rfam family: Bacterial small subunit ribosomal RNA
Source: RNAcentral